Molecule: unclassified non-coding RNA, 358 nt
Filed under: Melitaea cinxia (Glanville fritillary)
Lineage: Eukaryota; Metazoa; Arthropoda; Insecta; Lepidoptera; Nymphalidae
Description: misc RNA ENSMCXG00005003565.1
Source: RNAcentral
CGAGAAUUUCUCUAACGAGUUUUUAAAACUUUUCUUUUUUAAUAUGAUAGAAAAUACACAUAUAUUUCUACCAAAAAUACUAUUUAAGUGCUUGCAACGAAAAAUCAGCCGUAAGAGCGCAAAAUGGUGGACCCAUCGAAUGCGUCUACGCAUCGCAAGGUACUUCCUCACCUUAUUAUGCAACAGCAAAGAAGAGCUCGGUAACUCGUAGCUCUUGUUCCGAAACUGGGAGCAAAAUCAGAUUUGGACGAAAGUGAAUCAUCUGAGGAUGAAGUUCAAUACUACACCCGCCUUACGCACUCUAAUAGCAGUUCACCACCUCUAUCAUUGCCAUCUUCAAUAGAAAACCUAAACCGUC